RNAcentral lists this ribosomal RNA (492 nucleotides) under uncultured bacterium. Its description in RNAcentral is "bacterial SSU rRNA". It matches the Rfam family "Bacterial small subunit ribosomal RNA", at positions 28 to 508 of the family's 1533-position model. The record is from RNAcentral.
GAUGAACGCUAGCGGCAGGCUUAACACAUGCAAGUCGAGGGGCAACACGGGUAGCAAUACCUGGUGGCGACCGGCGCAAGGGUGCGUAACGCGUGAGCAACAUGCCCUAUACAGGGGGAUAAUCCAGGGAAACUUGGUCUAAUAUCCCAUAGUAUUUAGAGGUGGCAUCACCACUAAAUUAAAGCUUCGGUGGUAUAGGAUUGGCUCGCGUGACAUUAGCUGGAUGGUGGGGUAACGGCUCACCAUGGCGAUGAUGUCUAGGGGUUCUGAGAGGAAGACCCCCCCACACUGGGACUGAGACACGGCCCAGACUCCUACGGGAGGCAGCAGUGAGGAAUAUUGGACAAUGGAUGGAAAUCUGAUCCAGCCAUGCCGCGUGCAGGGAAGACGGCCCUAUGGGUUAGUAAACGUGCUUUUAUAUGGGACAAUAAGGUUUACGCGUUAGACCGAAUCGGAGAGUACCAUAUGAAUAAGCAUCGGCUAACUCCGUCG